GAUGAACGCUAGCGGCAGGCCUAACACAUGCAAGUCGAGGGGCAGCACAGAAACAGCAAUGUUUUGGUGGCGACCGGCGGACGGGAGCGUAACGCGUAUGCAAACUACCUUACACAGGGGGAUAACGGAUGGAAACGUCCACUAACACCCCAUAACAUCGGAAUCGGCAUCGGAUUCGUUUGAAAUCUCCGGAAGUGUAGGAUGGGCAUGCGUUGUAUUAGAUAGUUGGUGAGGUAACGGCUCACCAAGUCGACGAUACGUAGAGGGAAUGAGAGGCUAGCCACCCACAGUGGUGCUGAGACACGGACCAGCCUCCUACGGGAGGAACCAGUGCUGAAUAUGGGUCAAUGGGGGCAACCCUGAACCAGCCAUGCCGCGUGUAGGAAGACGGCUCUAUGAGUUGUAAACUGCUUUUACACAGGGAUAAAUCGGGGUACGCGUACCCCGUUGAAGGUACUGUGGGAAUAAGGAUCGGCUAACUCCGUGCCAGCCGCCGCCGUAA
This 502-nucleotide ribosomal RNA is filed under the name uncultured bacterium. Its description in RNAcentral is "partial 16S ribosomal RNA". It matches the Rfam family "Bacterial small subunit ribosomal RNA", at positions 28 to 523 of the family's 1533-position model. The record is from RNAcentral.